CAGAUUGAACGCUGGCGGCAGGCCUAAUACAUGCAAGUCGAACGGUAACAUAGGAAAAGCUUGCUUUCCUGAUGACGAGUGGCGGACGGGUGAGUAAAGUUGGGAAGCUACCUGAUAGAGGGGGACAACAGUUGGAAACGACUGCUAAUACCGCAUACAGCCUGAGGGUGAAAGCAGCAAUGCGCUAUCAGAUGCGCCCAAGUGGGAUUAGCUAGUAGGUGAGGUAAAGGCUCACCUAGGCGACGAUCUCUAGCUGGUCUGAGAGGAUGAUCAGCCACAUUGGGACUGAGACACGGCCCAGACUCCUACGGGAGGCAGCAGUAGGGAAUAUUGCACAAUGGAGGAAACUCUGAUGCAGCCAUGCCGCGUGUGUGAAGAAGGCCUUCGGGUUGUAAAGCACUUUCGGAGGGGAGGAGAAUGACGUUACCCUCAGAAGAAGCACCGGCUAACUCCGUGCCAGCAGCCGC
This 467-nucleotide ribosomal RNA is filed under the name uncultured bacterium. Its description in RNAcentral is "bacterial SSU rRNA". It matches the Rfam family "Bacterial small subunit ribosomal RNA", at positions 25 to 518 of the family's 1533-position model. The record is from RNAcentral.